This 314-nucleotide ribosomal RNA is filed under the name Tetraclita ehsani. RNAcentral's name for it is "partial 12S ribosomal RNA". Lineage: Eukaryota; Metazoa; Arthropoda; Thecostraca; Balanomorpha; Tetraclitidae. The record is from RNAcentral.
GAAAUUUAACGGAUUUGGCGGCAAGAUAGCCCCUUAGAGGAACCUGCCCUGUAAACGAUGAACCACGAAUGACACAACUUUUCUUUGAAAUCAGUUUGUAUAUCGCUGUUGUCAGUUAGAUUCUUGAGAAUAUUUUCAUUUAUGAUAAAGUCAUUGACUUCAAGUAAAGGUGCAGCUUAUAGAAAAGGUAGAGGUGGGUUACAUUUAUGUGAAUAAAACGGAUAAGAUAAGAGAAAUAGUCUUUGAAGGUGGAUUUAACUGUAAAGCUUAAAGAAGCUUGGUGAGAGCUCUAUCUUGUGUACACACCGCCCGUC